GUAGGUUGUAUGGUAUAUUACAGUGAAUGAUCUGUAUGUUUCAUCAUUUCAGAUAUAAACGAGUGCGAUGAGGGCCCAUGUGGCUUAAGGGUGUGUCAGAAUUCUGUGGGGUCAUUCACAUGUCUGUACCAAUGUGUCACGGGAUACAGACGGAACGGUUUUAACGCAGCGUGUGUGGAUGUAGACGAAUGUAAUGGGGAUAACUCCUGUUCUGCUAAUGCGGACUGUAACAAUACUGUUGGAAGCUACAACUGUACAUGUAAGGUUGGUUACCAUGGGAACGGAAGCCAAUGUGAAGAUGCCAACGAGUGUACGGAGCCUGACGCCUGCUCUCCAAAUGCUGUUUGUAUGAACGUACCUGGUAGUUACAGCUGUAAAUGUAACGUCGGAUUUACUGGAGAUGGGAGCAGCUGUACAGGUAACAAGAUCAUCAGCGAAAUUAGAGACCUUUAGCUAGAAGCUAAGAGUUCAUUUUGUAACUUGUAACUUCCCUCAGUAUACGUGCGCGGAAAUGUCCUCCCCCAAUACACGUACGUGGAAAGGCCUUCCCUCAAUAUACGUACGCGGAAAGGCCUUCCCUCAAUAUACGUACGUGGAAAGGCCUUCCCUCAAUAUACCUACGUGGAAAGGCCUUCCCUCAGUAUACGUACGCGGAAAGGUCUUCCUUCAAUAAACGUACGUGGAAAGGCCUGUUGGCAACCAGUGGAUGGUUGGUUUCUCCCGGGUUCUAUCCGAUUUCCUCCACAAAUAAUGCUGGUCGCCGUUGUAUAAGUGACAUAUUCUUGAGUGUGGCGUAUAACGCCAAUUAAAUCAAUUAAAUAAAUAUUCACUAAUAUAGUAUUCACUUUGAGCUUUUACAUGGUGUCGUAAAACGGAAUGUAUGACUUUCAUAAUUCAGUAUUUUUGCAGUAGUGAGGGAGCCAUUCAUAGCAUCACGUUACAACUUUCUAAAGUUGACAGACUAAGUUGUAAAGUGUUGGAAGUUUAUCCUUACAAAAUGAUUAUGACAUUUUGUAGUUUAACAUGUUUUAAUGCCAAAGUAACAACUUUGAAUGUUGCAUUCAGCAGCAUAGAUUAAAUAAUCUUAUAAUCCACCAAUAUUUCACUCCCUGCCCGUGUACAAUAUUUUAAAAUAAUGACUCUCAUAUUUUACUUCAUUUAUUUGAUUGAUGUUUUACGCUGUGCUCACGAAUAUUCCAGUGGUACGACGGCGGCUCAUAUUUUACGCAUUUAACGUGUUUAUAACACUUAGAAUAUGUCGGCAUUUCAACACUUGCAUUUUAAAUACUGUUGGAUAGGGCGUUAAACACCAAUCGAAUAAUCAAAUAAGUAACUAGAAUUCAGCCGCACAAUCUGUGGUGAGCUAUGUCAAAGUGAAUCGGUCAGCUCGCUUGUGAGCCAAGCAUAAUGAUUAUCACCUGCCUCCUUUAAUUCUAGUGAGUUUAGCAAGACAUAUUUCCAUCACUGCUCGAUUCAUUUCAUUCUGUACUCCUAUAGGUCAUCGGUGUAGCGUUUGGUGCUUGUAAUGAGUGCAUGAGGGAUAACGCCACAUUGACAUUAUUUCAGUCCUAUGUCAUGGAGAUGUGCAUGAAGUUUAUUUAAAUUCACGAGCUAUAAUCCUCAUCUGCUGGGUUUGGAGGGUGUGGCCAGCAACCACGAACGUCAAAUUUCAGAUAUUCCUGCAAUGAACUUUUUAUACGGUUUUGACGAAUGCAAUGCAAGUAUAAAUUAAUAAAAUCAGGUGUAACUAGAAUGGAUCUGCGAACAGUAGAUCCUAGGCCGGGAUCCCGGAUCGGAUUGAAGACGUUUUCCCCACCCAGUAAUACACGGCCCUUGUAACAGCAAGUUCAUACUUCCACGUAUCAAUCCACGACCUGCCAUGCACAGACUACCUGGCACCCUCCUCCCUCUUGACAACGGGGCUAGGCAGCCAUACUUUUGUACACAUAGAGUACAUGUGUAGCGCUUUGUACUCAGUGAUGUUCAGCUUUACAGGUGGAACGAUUUUCUCGCAACAGACCUCCAAAUAUGGUGGGAAUUGCGCUUUUUCGUGUUUUGAUCGCAAUUUGCGGCAAAACUAUACAUGCUUAAAUUUUCGUGCGUUCAUACUAGUCGCAAAUGCAUUUAAAAUGCAUCAUAUAACAAGGGGACAUCAAACAUUUAUUGACACACUUCAAUGAUUUUCAGCACGCAGUGGUUUUGUGUCACGUGACCUCCAAACAUGGGCAAAAAUUGCACUUUUUCGCACUUAUAUGGCAAUUGGCGACAAAACCGUGCGUUGGAGGACGCAAAAACCACCAGAUUCGUCAU
This is a long non-coding RNA of Liolophura sinensis, 2310 nucleotides long. RefSeq lists it as uncharacterized. The record is from RefSeq and is a predicted model, not a curated record. NCBI's taxonomy places the organism in Eukaryota, Metazoa, Mollusca, Polyplacophora, Chitonida, Chitonidae. The transcript is spliced from 3 exons.